Molecule: ribosomal RNA, 301 nt
Filed under: uncultured bacterium
Lineage: Bacteria
Description: partial 16S ribosomal RNA
Rfam family: Bacterial small subunit ribosomal RNA
Source: RNAcentral
CAGUAGCCGCGGUAAUACGAAGGGGGCUAGCGUUGUUCGGAAUCACUGGGCGUAAAGCGCACGUAGGCGGAUUUUUAAGUCAGGGGUGAAAUCCCGAGGCUCAACCUCGGAACUGCCUUUGAUACUGGAGAUCUUGAGUUCGGAAGAGGUUGGUGGAACAGCUAGUGUAGAGGUGAAAUUCGUAGAUAUUAGCUAGAACACCAGUGGCGAAGGCGGCCAACUGGUCCGACAUUGACGCUGAGGUGCGAAAGCGUGGGGAGCAAACAGGAUUAGAUACCCCAGUAGUCCCUGUCUCUUAUAC